CCUACGGGUGGCAGCAGUGAGGAAUAUUGGUCAAUGGACGAGAGUCUGAACCAGCCAAGUAGCGUGAAGGAUGACUGCCCUAUGGGUUGUAAACUUCUUUUAUAUGGGAAUAAAAUGUUCCACGUGUGGGAUUUUGUAUGUACCAUAUGAAUAAGGAUCGGCUAACUCCGUGCCAGCAGCCGCGGUAAUACGGAGGAUCCGAGCGUUAUCCGGAUUUAUUGGGUUUAAAGGGAGCGUAGGUGGAUUGUUAAGUCAGUUGUGAAAGUUUGCGGCUCAACCGUAAAAUUGCAGUUGAAACUGGCAGUCUUGAGUUCAGUAGAGGUGGGUGGAAUUCGUGGUGUAGCGGUGAAAUGCUUAGAUAUCACGAAGAACUCCGAUUGCGAAGGCAGUUCACUGGACUGCAACUGACACUGAGGCUCGAAAGUGUGGGUAUCAAACAGGAUUAGAUACCCUUGUAGUC
Molecule: ribosomal RNA, 460 nt
Filed under: uncultured bacterium
Lineage: Bacteria
Description: partial 16S ribosomal RNA
Rfam family: Bacterial small subunit ribosomal RNA
Source: RNAcentral